UAUCUCACAUACUUCAUGUGGCCCUUCACUCUCCUCUGCUCAUUUGUCCUCACCCUUGCUCUCUCCUCGCGCACGUUAGUCUUUGAGCGAAACCGUAUUCGUGACCUCACCCUUCAUUCUCACCUCCUUCCCAAGUUUUCCUUUCACGUAAGCAUUUUAUACACAUAUGAUCUAAAAUGAACAAUAUAUCUUUUCGAUCGUGUGGGCAUUUGCAAUUAAAGUGAACAACAAAUGUUUUCUCAUGGGUAUACCUUUCGAAAUUUUCAUCUAAACUUUACUUCUAAUCUUGCCACAUAAACAUGUCUGGGUAUACGUAGUAUAAAUCACAGCGCCACCAUGAGUCCAUCAACAAAAUCAUAGAGGGGGCUAUCCUUGAAGCAGAUGAAAAGGGUGUGAAAGUAAUGAGUCUUGGCUUAAUGAACAAUGUACGUUUAUUUACUUCAAAUCCAUUCUAUAUAUAAUAUAUAUAUAUAUAUAUAUAUAUAUAUAUAUAUAUGAAUAAGUAACUAAUUAACAUACGAUUUACUAGAGC
Molecule: long non-coding RNA, 532 nt
Filed under: Capsella rubella
Lineage: Eukaryota; Viridiplantae; Streptophyta; Magnoliopsida; Brassicales; Brassicaceae
Description: long non-coding RNA (CRUB_LNC004523)
Source: RNAcentral